This 84-nucleotide transfer RNA is filed under the name Candidatus Parcubacteria bacterium. RNAcentral describes it as "tRNA-Leu". It matches the Rfam family "tRNA". Rfam says of the family: Transfer RNA (tRNA) molecules are approximately 80 nucleotides in length. Their secondary structure includes four short double-helical elements and three loops (D, anti-codon, and T loops). The record is from RNAcentral. Lineage: Bacteria; Candidatus Parcubacteria.
GCGCGAGUGGCGGAAUUGGUAGACGCGCAGCCUUGAGGGGGCUGUGGGAGAAUUCCCGUGUGGGUUCGAGUCCCACCUCGCGCA